This 371-nucleotide ribosomal RNA is filed under the name Dipsas sp. RNAcentral's name for it is "partial large subunit ribosomal RNA". It matches the Rfam family "Bacterial large subunit ribosomal RNA", at positions 2006 to 2594 of the family's 2925-position model. The record is from RNAcentral. Lineage: Eukaryota; Metazoa; Chordata; Lepidosauria; Squamata; Dipsadidae.
GAGGGUCUAUCUGUCUCUUGCAAUAAAUCAAUUAAACUGAUCUCCUAGUAAAAAAGCUAGAAUCCCCACAUAAGACCAGAAGACCCUGUGAAGCUUAAACUAAACUAUUAAACCCUAUAAUACUUACUUUCGGUUGGGGCGACCUUGGAAAAAAAAAGAACUUCCAAACAUAUGACCACACUCAUACAUAGGCCCACAAGCCUCAUAUAGACCCAGUACAACUGAUAAUUGAACCAAGUUACUCCAGGGAUAACAGCGCCAUCUUCUUCAAGAGUCCAUAUCAAAAAGAAGGUUUACGACCUCGAUGUUGGAUCAGGACAUCCUAAUGGUGCAGCCGCUAUUAAGGGUUCGUUUGUUCAACGAUUAAUAGU